RNAcentral lists this long non-coding RNA (3181 nucleotides) under Mus musculus (house mouse). Its description in RNAcentral is "long non-coding RNA chr11:20741783-20744964". The record is from RNAcentral. Lineage: Eukaryota; Metazoa; Chordata; Mammalia; Rodentia; Muridae.
ACUCACUGAAGUGUGGGCUGGGGACGUCCUCCCUCCCCUCCCGACCCUCUGAGGCAGCGCUCCGGGCCACAGACCUGAGCUUCUCUCCGCCCAGUACUUUCCCGAUGAGCCGGGGAGAGGGUUAAGUUCCGCCUUGGAAUAAAACUGCAGACGUAUGGAAAUACGGAACCAGAUCUCUGCUGAAAAACCGGCUGGACAACAUUCAGCAGCUUGUCCUUUUUGCCCGGAAUAAAAGACUUUCAUUCCCUUCCCUUUUUAUGUAAGCCAACAAAAGAGGAAGCUGUUAUUUAACAAACGAGAAGUGAUUGUCCUACUUAAGACGAGAAGUCAGCAGGCAAACUAACAAAUGGUCUUCUACAAAAAUCAGUCCAGAAUUGUGUUGGUGUUUGGAGAAGAUGAUCAUUUUCAUACAUCUUUCCAAUCAACUUGUGCAUUUGAGCGAUUCUAUACAAUAGAGGUCAUAAGAGGUUUUUGUUUCCAUCGGUUCCUGAGCAAUUGGUCUUUUUUUAAUAACAUCUCCCCGUCCUUUAUUAUGACUCUGUUAGAAACCAUUCCACUGUAAAACUCAGACAAAGCUGCAGGAUUUUUAUUCCUGUCUCAGACGGUGAACCCUGGACUCUACCCUACAAACCCUGAGCCCUGCCGGGUUCUCUUUCUGCCCACGCUGAAUUAUUUAAAAUAGUUCCCAAACCGCAAAGCUCAGCAGUAACCGAAAGGAACAAGGACUGAAAACACCCGUCAUCUCAGAGAACUGUCUAGCCCUUUGACUGGAGGAAUUACACACGUUGAAAAAGAUAAGGACAAUAGCAAUUCAUCAUGGUUUAUCCUGCCUCUGCAAUGUUCUAGACAAAUUAACUUGAAGAACUAAAAUAGACCCUCAUUUGUCUCCUCACAAUUCAGUCAUUGCAAGAUAACAGAGACUGCAUUGCUGCUUUGUGGUUAUGCUGAAUAUUUUUGUUAUUGGCCAGUCACUGAAGUGAGAAAAAUCUAUAUGGCUUGUCAAAUUUAUUCCUUUUGUAUUUCGCCCCCUGCUGGUGUAGCUCGUGUGCAAAUUAAAAAAAAAAAGUAUGUCACUGUAAAACAUGUUUAUUGUCUGAGAAUGAAAGUAAAAAAAAAUGCGUGUAAAACUGAAAAUUAAUUUAUUUCAGACAAACAUAUGUUUGUUUUCACUUGAUAAAUCUACCAAAUAAGUACUGACUAAGAUCCGAAGGAAACGUUUGAAUGAUGAUUUUCAAAUAAUUUAAACCAAUCAAAAAUGUUUAAUAUAGUGAUUCUAAACAUUAAAAGGAAACCGUGCAGUUUGGGAAAGUAUCUUCCCGAUUUCACAAAUUAUAUGAUUACCAAAUGAUUAUCUUUGUUAGGUAAGUGAAGAGGCUAACUCUGUUUACUUAAUUUUUUUUUUUUUAAAUCCAUGGAAGCUGAGUAGCUAUUUGUUCAAAUGACUUGGGAGCACAAUCAACCUACCUGUAAUUGGAUACUCUUACAUGUGAUUAUGACAUUUGGCAUCAAGAAAAGAAAAACGCCUGACCACUUCUAAUUUUUUCUCCUAUUCAGCCUUGUUAAACAACUGAAAUCAUAAUAAAUAGUAAAGUUUAUACUUAUAUUACCCCUUUUAGUCAAAUGUUACAUUGUAGUGCUAUUGUUUACCUCUUAGACACUCAAAUUUCUUUGACCUCUAAAAGCUCUUCCAGGGGGGAGGCUCUGUGAAUCAUACCUUAAGUAGAGAAACCUGCAUCACACACAACACAGAGGGAAAACCCCUGGUUUUCUACUUUUAUUUUGAACCAGGUUCUCCUAUAACCCAGGCUAGUUCUCAGCCUGUAAACUAAAGAGGAUCUUGAACUGAUCCCCUAUCUCUACCACCCAAGUGCUGUGAUUACAGGUAUGUGUCACCAUGUCCACUAUUUUUAAAUUUAAUGAAGUAGAUGAACUACCUCUACAAUAAAGACUUUAGGAGCCCAAAGAAAGCAAUAGGAGAAGACACUGGAAGAUAGAAGCUCAAUGCUUAUUCACUGGAAGAAUGAAGGAGUUUCACCCUGUUGCUGUACCUCAGGGACUUUCCAAGUUUUCUUUAGUGUCUGAAAUCCAAUCCCUGUCCCUUCCACUCUAAGGCUGCUCUCAUGGCUGUCCCUUCUCUAAGUAUUCACUAACAACAGAGCCCCCAGAAGACUGCUGGUGAAGUUCCCUGCUCUCUCUGGAUGGAUACUCUAACCAUACCAAUUCUCUUCCCUCUCAGAGCUCAUAGUGAGCCUCACACUUCUGCACUUAAGCCUGGGAUGCCAGCAUUCCAGCAUUUUAUUCUCUGUUGUCAGAAAGAGAAACAGCUUGGACUAUGAACAAAGAAUUAUCUUUGAGACAGAAUAGACCAGGUGUGAACCUCAGCAACAGCCCAGAAUCUUACUAAGAACCUUCCCCACCUGCAAAAAUCAAAGAAGGGUCCCUACCUCACAGACCUGUUAUCCAGAAGAGAUGCACAUUAUAAUGUAUGUAAAAUAUCCCAACAAUGCUAAGAGUCUGUCUCAUAGUGUAAACUUUAUUGUCAUAUCUUCCCCAAGACAAUUUUAAUUCUUAAUUAAUUCUCCACCCUUACUCCUUAGCUGAUGACGUUGAGUAAAGUCUGAAGAUAUUCUUGACUAUUACAGUUAAGGUGGAAGUGCAAGUAGAAGCUAACAGGUAGAAGCUGGGGACCCAUCGAAACCUCCUGCAAUGCAGAAGAAGCGAGUCUCUAUAGCAAAGAACUAUCCAGGAUGUCAGUCAUGCCAACUUUGAGAAAUCUUGCCCUAGGGCAUCCUUGGACUGUUGAUAUUGCCUCCACUAAUUCAAACCACUAACACUGCUAAUCCUAGGUCCCAGUCACUAAAAGUACUUGGACAGUUUAGGAAGUCUGAACAUGUGCUAAUAUUAAAUAUAGCCUUAGGAAUGAAUUGUUAAUUUUUCAGUACACUAAUAAAAUUAUGGAUUUGUACAAUGAUAUACAACCAUUUCUAAGUGUUUGAAAUGCAUAAUUCGGUUUUAAAUGGCUUAGGGAAAGAGAUCCAUGUAUACACAGAGAUAAAAUGAAUAUAGCAAUAUUCUUGACUCUGAGUGAUAAAUAUACCAGUGCUUGUCAUACUCUGCUUUCUAUUUUCAUGCUAUUUAGAAUGUUUUUUGUAAUAAAAAAGGGCUUUUAAAAUACCCUAGC